ACCAUGCCUCAUGCGUUGAUUUUCAUUUAUUAUUCAUCAUUAAUAGUUUCUCAAUAAAAUUUGUCAGUAAUAAAUUAAGAUCAACGUGUAAGACAUGAC
Molecule: non-coding RNA, 99 nt
Filed under: Schistosoma japonicum
Lineage: Eukaryota; Metazoa; Platyhelminthes; Trematoda; Strigeidida; Schistosomatidae
Source: RNAcentral